AGAUUGAACGCUGGCGGCAGGCCUAACACAUGCAAGUCGAGCGGCAGCACGGGUACUUGUACCUGGUGGCGAGCGGCGGACGGGUGAGUAAUGCCUAGGAAUCUGCCUGGUAGUGGGGGAUAACGCUCGGAAACGGACGCUAAUACCGCAUACGUCCUACGGGAGAAAGCAGGGGACCUUCGGGCCUUGCGCUAUCAGAUGAGCCUAGGUCGGAUUAGCUAGUUGGUGAGGUAAUGGCUCACCAAGGCGACGAUCCGUAACUGGUCUGAGAGGAUGAUCAGUCACACUGGAACUGAGACACGGUCCAGACUCCGUACGGGA
RNAcentral lists this ribosomal RNA (321 nucleotides) under uncultured soil bacterium. RNAcentral describes it as "bacterial SSU rRNA". It matches the Rfam family "Bacterial small subunit ribosomal RNA", at positions 26 to 346 of the family's 1533-position model. The record is from RNAcentral.